CUCAAAGAAGGUGAAGGGCGGGCCGACCGGGUCAGGAGGCGAAGGAGCCUCUGUAAGGCCUAGUUUUCGGUCAUGGCGCCCAGCGCGGAAGGAGGCAAAGGCUGCGGCGAGAAGGAAGGCGCGCUAGGCCGCGGCGUCCGGAAGGGCAUCCGCGCUGUCCUCCUGGGCCCCCCAGGCGCAGGGAAAGGCACUCAGGCUCCUCGGCUUGCUGAAACCUAUUGCGUGUGCCACUUGGCAACAGGGGACAUGCUGAGGGCCAUGGUGGCCACUGGAUCAGAGCUUGGAAAACGGCUGAAAGCAACAAUGGAUGCUGGGAAGUUGGUGAGUGACGAAAUGGUGGUGGAGCUGAUUGAGAACAACCUGGAGACCCCUCCCUGCAAGAACGGCUUCCUUCUGGAUGGGUUCCCCCGCACUGUCCGCCAAGCGGAGAUGCUGGAUGAACUCAUGGAAAAAAGAAAAGAGAAGCUAGAAUCUGUUAUUGAAUUCAGUGUCCCGGACUCCUUGCUGAUCCGAAGAAUUACUGGAAGGCUGAUCCACCCAGCAAGUGGCCGUUCAUACCACGAGGAGUUCAACCCUCCAAAGGUUGCCAUGAAAGAUGAUGUGACCGGGGAGCCCUUGAUCCGCCGUUCAGAUGACAACGAAGCCGCCUUGAAAAAUCGCCUGAAGUCAUAUCACACCCAGACAACGCCCCUGAUUGGCUACUACUCCCGGCGUGGAAUCCACACAGCCAUCGAUGCUUCCCAGUCCCCGGACGUGGUUUUCGCCAGCAUCCUGGCCGCGUUCUCGAAAGCAACAUGUAAAGACCUCGUCAUGUUCAUUUAGGACUCUUCUCCUGUCUGGUCCGUCCUUCCUUCCUUCUUUCCUGUCUUCUGGGAUCAGAGAGAGAGCUGCAUGAAUCCAGGAGGUGGACGGGACAGGACUCCAUGGAGCACCGCAGGGUCAUCGCCCCUCAUCCACACCUUCACCCUAUUUUCAGGGGUGAAAUUGGGGGGGGGGGAAGGAAGGUGUAGUAUGGAGGGUAUCUUACCAAAAGAAUGUAUUUAGGAAGAAAAAGAAUUGCAGUGUCAAAACAGAUUGGAGGACUGGUUGUCAUCACUUUGACAUCGGAAAAUUAUUUGUGUUGCAAAGAAUGAAUUGUCUGUAAUGAGAGAUCAGACCAGAGGGGAGCAUGCAAUUCUCAGCAGUCCAGAGUAAGGAAUGCUGAGAGUUACAACUGAACAUGUGGAGAACUGUGUGUCUUCCACUUUUGUCUUAAGCAAUAUGGCUUCUACCUCCCACAUGUUUGUGAGGCCUAAAUGUGCCCCUAACUUUUAAUCAGGAUUUCAGAGUUUGGAAAUGUGCCUUUUUGGGGGCCACAGGUCCCACAAAAUGCCCAAUGAACAAACAGCUUUAGGGCCCUUCAUCUCCCAAUUCUGCUAUGAGGGAGAUACUGUCAUACGAGGGAAUUCUUCAUGUUUUUCCCCCCUUCAGAAGGCUAUUAGCCUUUUCCUUUUGGAGGUGGUCCAGUUUCAGGCCAGUUUUCCCUUCAGAGACAAAACCUAAGUAUCUUUCUUCCCCCGAAAUCACACCUUGCUUCCAACCUGUUCACUUGCCUCCUUUAAAGAGACCGCCUCUUGCUUCAAUAAAAGUGGCUGAACAUUUUG
RNA transcript from Anolis carolinensis (green anole), 1643 nucleotides. It is a transcript of the gene named adenylate kinase 2, with no coding region annotated. NCBI's taxonomy places the organism in Eukaryota, Metazoa, Chordata, Lepidosauria, Squamata, Anolidae. The transcript is spliced from 7 exons. The record is from RefSeq and is a predicted model, not a curated record.